CCUACGGGCGGCAGCAGUGAGGAAUAUUGGUCAAUGGGCGAGAGCCUGAACCAGCCAAGUCGCGUGAGGGAUGACGGUCCUAUGGAUUGUAAACCUCUUUUGUCGGGGAACAAAGGCGUCCACGUGUGGACUGAUGAGUGUACCCGAAGAAAAAGCAUCGGCUAACUCCGUGCCAGCAGCCGCGGUUAUACGGAGGGGGCAAGCGGUUACCGGAAUUACUGGGGUUAAAGGGAGCGUAGACGGGUAAGUAAGUCUGGAGUGAAAGGCCGGGGCCCAACCCCGGGACUGCUGUGGAAACUGUUGAACUUGAGUGCAGGAGAGGUAAGCGGAAUUCCUAGUGGAGCGGUGAAAUGCGUAGAUAUUAGGAGGAACACCAGUGGCGAAGGCGGCUUACUGGACUGUAACUGACGUUGAGGCUCGAAAGCGUGGGGAGCAAACAGGAUUAGAUACCCUUGUAGUC
This 460-nucleotide ribosomal RNA is filed under the name uncultured bacterium. RNAcentral's name for it is "partial 16S ribosomal RNA". It matches the Rfam family "Bacterial small subunit ribosomal RNA", at positions 338 to 795 of the family's 1533-position model. The record is from RNAcentral.